GUGGGGAAUAUUGGACAAUGGGCGCAAGCCUGAUCCAGCCAUGCCGCGUGUGUGAAGAAGGCCUUCGGGUUGUAAAGCACUUUUGUUGGGAAAGAAAUCCUGUCGGCUAAUACCCGGCGGGGAUGACGGUACCCAAAGAAUAAGCACCGGCUAACUUCGUGCCAGCAGCCGCGGUAAUACGAAGGGUGCAAGCGGUACUCGGAAUUACUGGGCGUAAAGCGUGCGUAGGUGGAUCGUUAAGUCAGAUGUGAAAGCCCCGGGCUCAACCUGGGAAUUGCAUUUGAUACUGGCGGACUAGAGUGCGGUAGAGGAGAGUGGAAUUCCCGGUGUAGCAGUGAAAUGCGUAGAGAUCGGGAGGAACAUCAGUUGCGAAGGCGGCUCUCUGGACCAGCACUGACACUGAGGCACGAAAGCGUGGGGAGCAAACAGGAUUAGAAACCCGGGUAGUCC
Molecule: ribosomal RNA, 450 nt
Filed under: uncultured bacterium
Lineage: Bacteria
Description: partial 16S ribosomal RNA
Rfam family: Bacterial small subunit ribosomal RNA
Source: RNAcentral